Molecule: ribosomal RNA, 467 nt
Filed under: uncultured bacterium
Lineage: Bacteria
Description: partial 16S ribosomal RNA
Rfam family: Bacterial small subunit ribosomal RNA
Source: RNAcentral
GACGAACGCUGGCGGCGUGCUUAACACAUGCAAGUCGAACGGAAAGGCCCUGCUUUUGUGGGGUGCUCGAGUGGCGAACGGGUGAGUAACACGUGAGUAACCUGCCCUUGACUUUGGGAUAACUUCAGGAAACUGGGGCUAAUACCGGAUAGGAGCUCCUGCUGCAUGGUGGGGGUUGGAAAGUUUCGGCGGUUGGGGAUGGACUCGCGGCUUAUCAGCUUGUUGGUGGGGUAGUGGCUUACCAAGGCUUUGACGGGUAGCCGGCCUGAGAGGGUGACCGGCCAAAUGGGGACUGAGAUACGGCCCAGACUCCUAGGGGAGGCAGCAGGGGGGAAUAUUGAACAAGGGGGGGAAGCCUGAUGCAGCAACGCCGCGGGGGGGAUGACGGCCUUGGGGUUGUAAACCGCUUUCGCCUGGGACGAAGGGGGAGUGACGGUAAUGGGGAAAGAAGCACCGGCUAACUACGU